AGUGAACGCUGGCGGUAGGCCUAACACAUGCAAGUCGAACGGCAGCACAGUAAGAGCUUGCUCUUACGGGUGGCGAGUGGCGGACGGGUGAGGAAUACAUCGGAAUCUACUUUUUCGUGGGGGAUAACGUAGGGAAACUUACGCUAAUACCGCAUACGACCUACGGGUGAAAGCAGGGGAUCUUCGGACCUUGCGCGAUUGAAUAAGCCGAUGUCGGAUUAGCUAGUUGGCGGGGUAAAUGCCCACCAAGGCGACGAUCCGUAGCUGGUCUGAGAGGAUGAUCAGCCACACUGGAACUGAGACACGGUCCAGACUCCUACGGGAGGCAGCAGUGGGGAAUAUUGGACAAUGGGCGCAAGCCUGAUCCAGCCAUACCGCGUGGGUGAAGAAGGCCUUCGGGUUGUAAAGCCCUUUUGUUGGGAAAGAAAAGCAGCAGGUUAAUACCCCGCUGUUCUGACGGUACCCAAAGAAUAAGCACCGGCUAACUUCGUG
RNAcentral lists this ribosomal RNA (492 nucleotides) under uncultured bacterium. RNAcentral's name for it is "partial 16S ribosomal RNA". It matches the Rfam family "Bacterial small subunit ribosomal RNA", at positions 29 to 507 of the family's 1533-position model. The record is from RNAcentral.